AACACGUAAGGAACCUGCCCUCAGGUCUGGGAUAACCACGAGAAAUCGGGGCUAAUACCGGAUGGGUCAUCGGACCGCAUGGUCCGAGGAUGAAAGGCGCUUCGGCGUCUCCUGGGGAUGGCUUUGCGGUGCAUUACCUAGGUGGUGAGGUAAUGGCCCACCGAGGCGACGAUGCAUAGCCCACCUGAUAAGGUGAUCGGCCAACCUGGGACUGAGACACGGCCCAGACUCCUACGGGAGGGAGCAGUAGGGAAUCUUCCCCAAUGGACGAAAGUCUGAUGGAUCAACGCCGCGUGAACGAUGAAAGCCUUCGGGUCAUAAAGUUCUGUUGUAACGCAAGAACAAGUGCCGCACGCAAUGGCGGCACCUUGACGGUACCUUGCGAGAAAGCCACGGCUAACUACGUGCCAGCAGCCGCGGUGAUAAUUACUGGGCAAGCGUUGUCCGGAAUUAUUGGGCGUAAAGCGCGCGCAAGCGGCCUCUUAAGUCUGAUGUGAAAGCCCCCGGCUCAACCUGGGAGGGCCAUUGUAAACUGGGAGGCUUGAGUAUGUGAGAGAAUAGUGUGCUUCCACGUGUAACGGUGAAAUGCUGACAGAUGUGAACG
RNAcentral lists this ribosomal RNA (604 nucleotides) under uncultured bacterium. Its description in RNAcentral is "bacterial SSU rRNA". It matches the Rfam family "Bacterial small subunit ribosomal RNA", at positions 112 to 704 of the family's 1533-position model. The record is from RNAcentral.